Molecule: long non-coding RNA, 314 nt
Organism: Manduca sexta (tobacco hornworm)
Lineage: Eukaryota; Metazoa; Arthropoda; Insecta; Lepidoptera; Sphingidae
Exons: 3
Source: RefSeq, a predicted model, not a curated record
ACUGUGUUUUAUGAAUUAUGAUUUUGGCACCCUUUUGAACAUUAUUCAAGGUCCUUUUAAGUGAUAUGAAGUAACUUAGGAUUUUAUUGGCUACGGUAAUAAGUUAUUAUAACAAAAAUAUAAGUGUAAUAAAGAAAACACUAUGCCGAUAACUGCAACAAUGGAAUUGACAUCAAGCAUGUCUUUAUUUAUGGAUAGAAAGGAUCACAGCAUCGACAGCCAUUUCCGAUGGAAUAGCAUAAAGAAAUUUAUUUACUUGGCGUGCACUUAUUCCACGUGCCUGUAUAAUUUCGACAUAUUUUCAAAGGUGUGCG